AUCUAUGGCCAUACCACCUUACACGUGCCCGAUCUCAUCUGAUCUCAGAAGCUAAGCAGAGUUGGGCCUGGCUAGUACUUGGAUGGGAGACUGGCUGGAAUACUGGGUGCUGUAGGCU
Molecule: ribosomal RNA, 118 nt
Filed under: Castor canadensis (American beaver)
Lineage: Eukaryota; Metazoa; Chordata; Mammalia; Rodentia; Castoridae
Source: RNAcentral